RNAcentral lists this ribosomal RNA (468 nucleotides) under uncultured bacterium. Its description in RNAcentral is "partial 16S ribosomal RNA". It matches the Rfam family "Bacterial small subunit ribosomal RNA", at positions 28 to 507 of the family's 1533-position model. The record is from RNAcentral.
GACGAACGCUGGCGGCGUGCUUAACACAUGCAAGUCGGACGGAAAGGCCCUGCUUUUGUGGGGUGCUCGAGUGGCGAACGGGUGAGUAACACGUGAGUAACCUGCCCUUGACUUUGGGAUAACUUCAGGAAACUGGGGCUAAUACCGGAUAGGAGCUCCUGCUGCAUGGUGGGGGUUGGAAAGUUUCGGCGGUUGGGGAUGGACUCGCGGCUUAUCAGCUUGUUGGUGGGGUAGUGGCUUACCAAGGCUUUGACGGGUAGCCGGCCUGAGAGGGUGACCGGCCACUUUGGGACUGAGAUACGGCCCAGACUCCUACGGGAGGCAGCAGUGGGGAAUAUUGCACAAUGGGCGGAAGCCUGAUGCAGCAACGCCGCGUGCGGGAUGACGGCCUUCGGGUUGUAAACCGCUUUCGCCUGUGACGAAGCGUGAGUGACGGUAAUGGGUAAAGAAGCACCGGCUAACUACGUG